UACGUAGGGUGCAAGCGUUGUCCGGAAUUAUUGGGCGUAAAGAGCUCGUAGGCGGUUUGUUGCGUCGGCUGUGAAAUCCCGAGGCUCAACCUCGGGUCUGCAGUCGAUACGAGCAGGCUAGAGUUCGGCAGGGGAGACUGGAAUUCCUGGUGUAGCGGUGAAAUGCGCAGAUAUCAGGAGGAACACCGGUGGCGAAGGCGGGUCUCUGGGCCGAUACUGACGCUGAGGAGCGAAAGCGUGGGGAGCGAACAGG
Molecule: ribosomal RNA, 253 nt
Filed under: uncultured bacterium
Lineage: Bacteria
Description: partial 16S ribosomal RNA
Rfam family: Bacterial small subunit ribosomal RNA
Source: RNAcentral